This 450-nucleotide ribosomal RNA is filed under the name uncultured bacterium. RNAcentral's name for it is "bacterial SSU rRNA". It matches the Rfam family "Bacterial small subunit ribosomal RNA", at positions 354 to 796 of the family's 1533-position model. The record is from RNAcentral.
GUGGGGAAUUUUGCGCAAUGGGCGAAAGCCUGACGCAGCGACGCCGCGUGUGCGAUGAAGGCCUUUGGGUCGUAAAGCACUGUCGACCGGGACGAAAACUCAUGGGCCAAUACCCCAUGAGCUUGACGGUACUGGUAAAGGAAGCACCGGCUAACUCUGUGCCAGCAGCCGCGGUAAUACAGAGGGUGCAAACGUUGCUCGGAAUUAUUGGGCGUAAAGCGCGUGUAGGCGGCUCGUUAAGUCGGUUGUGAAAGCCCAUGGCUCAACCAUGGAAGUGCGACUGAAACUGGCGAGCUUGAGUCUCGUAGAGGAUGGCGGAAUUCCCGGUGUAGAGGUGAAAUUCGUAGAUAUCGGGAGGAACAUCGGUGGCGAAGGCGGCCAUCUGGAAGAAGACUGACGCUGAGACGCGAAGGCGUGGGGAGCAAACAGGAUUAGAAACCCGUGUAGUCC